Molecule: ribosomal RNA, 902 nt
Filed under: Stegobolus fissus
Lineage: Eukaryota; Fungi; Ascomycota; Lecanoromycetes; Ostropales; Graphidaceae
Description: SSU rRNA
Rfam family: Bacterial small subunit ribosomal RNA
Source: RNAcentral
GAUAUGGUCAAUAGCCUAACGGCUGAACCAGCAACUUGGUGGAAUGUAUAGGGAAAACUGGUAAAAUGUGUAGUACCUAAUAAUAUUAGCUAAUAAUAUGAUAUUAACUAAGUUAAUUAAAAUUCUGAGUAGAUAUGUGAUUAUGACAAUAUCUGCUAAAGUCUUGACCAAGUCACGUGCCAGCAGUCGCGGUAAUACGUGGAAGACGAGUGUUAUUCAUCUUUAUUAGGUUUAAAGGGUACCUAGACGGUUAAUUAAGCAAUUAUUUUGUACUGAUUAACUAGAGUUUAAUGUAAGAAGGAUCGAGUACGGUGAGUGUAGAGAUAAAAUUUUGUGAUACCAUCAUGGAACUGGUAAAAGCGAAGGCAACCUUCUAUGUAAAAACUGACGUUAAGGGACGAAGGCUUAUAUGAAAUAAUAGGAUUAGAGACCCUAGUAUUGUAAGCAGAAAAUGAUGAGUGUCAUAUACAAGAACUAUGUUUUGUGUAUAAAUGAAAGUGUAAGCACUCCACCUCAAGAGUAACAUGGCAACAUGGGAACUGAAAUCAUUAGACCGUUUCUGAAACUCGUAGUGAAGUAUGUUGUUUAAUUUGAUAACCCACAAAAAACCUUACCACAAUUUGUAUAACUAUAGUAUUAUUUAAUAUAGUUACAAGCGUUGCACGGCUGUCUUCAGUCAAUGUUGUGAAACUGUGGUUAGAUCCAUUAAAUUGACGUAAACCCUUACUUUAUUUAUUAUAAAGUAGUUCGCCGCUAUAUUGGUAGUGAUAUAAGGGACUAGGACAAGUCAUCAUGACCCGAACAUUGUGGGCUAUAGACGUGCCACAUUACCCUUUACAAAAUGAUGCAAAAUUGCGAAAUUUAGCUAAUCAUAAAAAAGGACAUAAUAUGGAUUGUAGUCG